UACGGAGGGGGCGAGCGUUAUUCGGAAUUAUUGGGCGUAAAGGGCGCGUAGGCGGCUUGACAAGUCAAAGGUGAAAUCCCUCGGCUCAACUGAGGAACUGCCUUUGAAACUGUCUGGCUUGAGGCCGGGAGAGGGUAGCGGAAUUCCCAGUGUAGCGGUGAAAUGCGUAGAUACUGGGAGGAACACCGGUGGCGAAGGCGGCUACCUGGACCGGUUCUGACGCUGAGGCGCGAAAGCGUGGGUAGCAAACAGG
This 253-nucleotide ribosomal RNA is filed under the name uncultured bacterium. Its description in RNAcentral is "partial 16S ribosomal RNA". It matches the Rfam family "Bacterial small subunit ribosomal RNA", at positions 524 to 776 of the family's 1533-position model. The record is from RNAcentral.